This 428-nucleotide ribosomal RNA is filed under the name uncultured prokaryote. RNAcentral's name for it is "bacterial SSU rRNA". It matches the Rfam family "Bacterial small subunit ribosomal RNA", at positions 355 to 774 of the family's 1533-position model. The record is from RNAcentral.
UGAGGAAUAUUGCGCAAUGGGGGCAACCCUGACGCAGCGACGCCGCGUGAGUGAGGAAGGCCUUCGGGUCGUAAAGCUCUGUCAAAGGGAAAGAAAUGUAUAAUGGCUAAUACCUGUUAUAUUUGACGGUACCCUUAAAGGAAGCACCGGCUAACUCCGUGCCAGCAGCCGCGGUAAUACGGAGGGUGCAAGCGUUGUUCGGAAUCACUGGGCGUAAAGGGCGCGCAGGCGGUUUGGUAAGUCAGAUGUGAAAGCCCACGGCUUAACCGUGGAAGUGCAUUUGAAACUGCCAGACUUGAGUAUCAGAGGGGAAAGUGGAAUUCCCGGUGUAGAGGUGAAAUUCGUAGAUAUCGGGAGGAGUACCGGUGGCGAAGGCGACUUUCUGGCUGAAUACUGACGCUGAGGCGCGAAAGCGUGGGGAGCAAACA